CUAGUAACGGCGAGUGAAGCGGCAACAGCUCAAAUUUGAAAUCUGGCCCCCUCGGGGUCCGAGUUGUAAUUUGCAGAGGGUGCUUUGGUGUUGGCUGUGGUCCAAGUUCCCUGGAACAGGACGUCGCAGAGGGUGAGAACCCCGUACGUGGCCGCCAGCCUUCGCCGUGUAAAGCCCCUUCGAAGAGUCGAGUUGUUUGGGAAUGCAGCUCUAAAUGGGAGGUAAAUUCCUUCUAAAGCUAAAUAUUGGCCAGAGACCGAUAGCGCACAAGUAGAGUGAUCGAAAGAUGAAAAGCACUUUGGAAAGAGAGUGAAACAGCACGUGAAAUUGUUGAAAGGGAAGCGCUUGGAGCCAGACGUGCCCGUAGUUGCUCAGCCGGGGUCUUCCCCGGUGCACUCUUCUGCGGGCAGGCCAGCAUCAGUUUGGGCGGUCGGACAAAAGCCUGCUAAACGUACCUCCCCCCGGGGAGGACUUAUAGGGUAGGUGGCAUACGACCAGCCCGGACUGAG
This 509-nucleotide ribosomal RNA is filed under the name Sclerostagonospora arundinis. Its description in RNAcentral is "eukaryotic LSU rRNA". It matches the Rfam family "Eukaryotic large subunit ribosomal RNA", at positions 80 to 593 of the family's 3401-position model. The record is from RNAcentral. Lineage: Eukaryota; Fungi; Ascomycota; Dothideomycetes; Pleosporales; Phaeosphaeriaceae.